This 253-nucleotide ribosomal RNA is filed under the name uncultured bacterium. RNAcentral describes it as "partial 16S ribosomal RNA". It matches the Rfam family "Bacterial small subunit ribosomal RNA", at positions 524 to 776 of the family's 1533-position model. The record is from RNAcentral.
UACGGAGGGGGUUAGCGUUGUUCGGAAUGACUGGGCGUAAAGCGCGCGUAGGCGGAUCAGGAAGUUGGGGGUGAAAUCCCGGGGCUCAACCCCGGAAUGGCCUUCAAAACUCCUGGUCUUGAGUUCGAGAGAGGUGAGUGGAAUUCCGAGUGUAGAGGUGAAAUUCGUAGAUAUUAGGAAGAACACCAGUGGCGAAGGCGGCUCACUGGCUCGGUACUGACGCUGAGGCGCGAAAGCGUGGGGAGCAAACAGG